This 2037-nucleotide ribosomal RNA is filed under the name Triticum aestivum (bread wheat). Its description in RNAcentral is "partial small subunit ribosomal RNA". Lineage: Eukaryota; Viridiplantae; Streptophyta; Magnoliopsida; Poales; Poaceae. The record is from RNAcentral.
AUGGAGGAUGUGGGUAUGGAGUUUCUUCUCGACGCCGUCGACAGCUCAGGGAAGACGGACCUGAGAAAGCACGAGAGAGUCUGCCGGCGUCGGAAAUCAUCACCGACUAGGUCGGCGCAGUCCACGUACAGAGUCAACCCCCCAGGCCCCAGGAUGGAUGAAAAGUACUUUUGUUGUUCUAAUUUGCUGACGGCCGAAGAAAUUGAAUCAGCUGAGGUAGUGGAUGUGGCCGAAGAAAUUGAACCACCGCGGUCUCCGUGGGCGGAUUUGACUGAACCUGCUGAUGGUUGGGAGCCGGAGCUAUCUAGCCUGCUUGGUUGCCCUGGUGCACAUGGUGCCCGCCGACUUGCUGCUGAGCACGGGCUAUCUGGUGAGGGCUCAUCCUCCUCAGUGGUACUCUUCAAGCAUGGAUGGCGCCGGCGUGAAGCAGCGUGUGGGCUGACUCGAGCGUUCCGGCGUCGGUGUCCAACUGCAGUUUGCCCUCUCGAGCCCGCGUCUGCUCCUGAUCGGGCAACUAAGAACUCAGCUGCGGGCUUGGACAGGACCGGCACGAUGUCAGCAUCAGAUGCUGGGAACUACAAUACGCAUGAUCGCGAUGAAGGAGAUGAACAUGACGAUGUUAUCGUGGAUAGUGCGAUCAAAGGCUGCUGCCUUGAGUCUGCAUCAGCUACAACUCUACUAUUCUUCGUCAACCUAGCUGCCGCUGGUUUGGACAGGGAGGAAGGAUUCGGGGAGCAUGACCCCGAUGCUCAGUCCGCGGGGGAGGAGUGGACAGUGGAUGUGUUGGAUGACCGCGGCGGAACAGGUCGGCCCAGAAAAGCAGCCGAUCCAUCAGGCCACUUCUGUACCGCAUCGUCCGUCCGGAAAAGUGUGACUGCUAGUGGACGCCAUGGAGCGGGGAUGGCACUGGCGGCUGCUCGAGUGCUCGGGGAGGGGGCGGCGAGUUGGGGGAGGAGUUGGGGAAGGGGACGACUGCUUGGGGAGGGGGCGGUGACCUGUAGCAGGAAGAAGAAUGGAUGCGAGCUCGGGGAGGGGGCCGCGAGCUCAUCUACCUUGCUGCUGGUGUUGGUCGACUGGAUCAAUCCUAGAGGAGUGGGGGAGGGGGUGGCGAGCUCGAGUAGAAGGAAGAGGUUGGGUGUCUGGAUCCUAGGGGAGUGGAGCCGUAGAGGCGCCUCUGGCGAACAGCGCCAGCAGCUGCUCCUCCCCUCCUCCAACGAGGGUAACUACAGGAGGGGAGGGACGCAAGCGUUGCCGCCACCAUCGUUGCCCCAAGGUAGCUGUGUCGACGAGGAGCAUUGGAUGUGGGCGGACGUCCACGGGAAGAGGGGAGCGGUUCCCGUACUCCUGCGGAGGAAGAUGGGCGGCGCGACGAGCGAUUGCCUCCAGUGGUGGCAGAUCCCCUCCAUGGCGUCCAUGAUGACGGCAGGCACCAUGGUGCCUAUCUGGCCAACACCAACCUUGCUUCCACCGGAUCCCCUGGGUCACUCAUCGAACCAGAACUCCAACAUUGCAUCCAUUUUCUUGUUCGCUCUGUCCAAUUAUUAUGAAGUACUAGAAGGCAUCCACCUUGGUUGCAACCCCUCAAUGUUCCACGCUGCUGUCACCGCGAGUCUUCAUCUUAGUUGCCGUCUGACAACACCAGGGAUCAUCAUCCGCAAAGAGGAGAAAGUCUGUCGCUGCAAAUACAGAAGGUGGGUUGUCAUAAACCGUAAUUCUUGGCACUUUUCAGGUCAGCCAUUUGAGGCUGGCACGAUACAUAAUGCUGUAAUAGAUCCGCCAUUUGUGGAGAAGGAGAGGCCUGCAUCGAAGCUUUCGGUUUCGGCACAUUGGACGGCGGCACUCCCCAGUACUGCACCUAACUUGGAUAUUGGGAUGAAUCCCUGGAGUACUUCUCCGUGUUCCUUAGGACAGGGAAAGGAUGAACAAGAGUUGAAGAGGGAGGGAAGGAAACAAUGCUAUGCAAAGUGCUACUUCUGUGGAUAUAUUAUGUAUAAUCUCUUCGGGAUUUCAUCGGGGUUGUGGCACUUCCUCCAUUGA